AUUGAACGCUGGCGGCAGGCCUAACACAUGCAAGUCGAGCGGAUGAAGGGAGCUUGCUCCUGGAUUCAGCGGCGGACGGGUGAGUAAUGCCUAGGAAUCUGCCUGGUAGUGGGGGAUAACGUCCGGAAACGGGCGCUAAUACCGCAUACGUCCUGAGGGAGAAAGUGGGGGAUCUUCGGACCUCACGCUAUCAGAUGAGCCUAGGUCGGAUUAGCUAGUUGGUGGGGUAAAGGCCUACCAAGGCGACGAUCCGUAACUGGUCUGAGAGGAUGAUCAGUCACACUGGAACUGAGACACGGCCCAGACUCCUACGGGAGGCAGCAGUGGGGAAUAUUGGACAAUGGGCGAAAGCCCGAUCCAGCCAUGCCGCGUGUGUGAAGAAGGUCUUCGGAUUGUAAAGCACUUUAAGUUGGGAGGAAGGGCAGUAAGUUAAUACCUUGCUGUUUUGACGUUACCAACAGAAUAAGCACCGGCUAACUUCGUG
RNAcentral lists this ribosomal RNA (484 nucleotides) under uncultured bacterium. RNAcentral's name for it is "partial 16S ribosomal RNA". It matches the Rfam family "Bacterial small subunit ribosomal RNA", at positions 30 to 507 of the family's 1533-position model. The record is from RNAcentral.